RNAcentral lists this ribosomal RNA (483 nucleotides) under uncultured bacterium. RNAcentral describes it as "partial 16S ribosomal RNA". It matches the Rfam family "Bacterial small subunit ribosomal RNA", at positions 28 to 523 of the family's 1533-position model. The record is from RNAcentral.
GACGAACGCUGGCGGCGUGCUUAACACAUGCAAGUCGAACGAUGAAGCUGGAGCUUGCUCCAGUGGAUUAGUGGCGAACGGGUGAGUAACACGUGAGCAAUCUGCCCUUGACUCUGGGAUAACUGCGGGAAACUGUAGCUAAUACCGGAUACGACACCUUGGGGCAUCCCGGGGUGUGGAAAGAAUUUCGGUCAAGGAUGAGCUCGCGGCCUAUCAGCUUGUUGGUGAGGUAAAGGCUCACCAAGGCGACGACGGGGAGCCGGCCUGCGAGGGUGACCGGCCACACUGGAACUGGGACACGGUCCAGACUCCUACGGGAGGCAGCAGUGGGGAAUAUUGCACAAUGGGCGAAAGCCUGAUGCAGCAACGCCGCGUGAGGGAUGGCGGCCUUCGGGUUGUAAACCUCUUUUAGCAGGGAAGAAGCGAAAGUGACGGUACCUGCAGAAAAAGCACCGGCUAACUACGUGCCAGCCGCCGCCGUAA